UUUAUGGAGAGUUUGAUCCUGGCUCAGGAUGAACGCUGGCGGCGUGCCUAAUACAUGCAAGUCGAGCGAACAGACGGGGAGCUUGCUCCCCCGACGUUAGCGGCGGACGGGUGAGUAACACGUGGGUAACCUACCUAUAAGACUGGAAUAACUCCGGGAAACCGGGGCUAAUGCCGGAUAACAUGUUGGACCGCAUGGUCCUACAGUGAAAGACGGUUUUGCUGUCACUUAUAGAUGGACCCGCGCCGUAUUAGCUAGUUGGUAAGGUAACGGCUUACCAAGGCAACGAUACGUAGCCGACCUGAGAGGGUGAUCGGCCGCACUGGAACUGAGACACGGUCCAGACUCCUACGGGAGGCAGCAGUAGGGAAUCUUCCGCAAUGGGCGAAAGCCUGACGGAGCAACGCCGCGUGAGUGAUGAAGGCCUUCGGGUCGUAAAACUCUGUUAUUAGGGAAGAACA
RNAcentral lists this ribosomal RNA (461 nucleotides) under Staphylococcus pettenkoferi. Its description in RNAcentral is "bacterial SSU rRNA". It matches the Rfam family "Bacterial small subunit ribosomal RNA", at positions 1 to 451 of the family's 1533-position model. Lineage: Bacteria; Bacillati; Bacillota; Bacilli; Caryophanales; Staphylococcaceae. The record is from RNAcentral.